Molecule: unclassified non-coding RNA, 317 nt
Filed under: uncultured Humicola
Lineage: Eukaryota; Fungi; Ascomycota
Description: sequence contains ITS1
Rfam family: 5.8S ribosomal RNA (bases 1-105)
Source: RNAcentral
GAAAUGCGAUAAGUGCUGUGAAUUGCAGAAUUCCGUGAAUCAUCGAAUCUUUGAACGCACAUUGCGCCCGCUUGUACUCUGGCGGGCGUGCCUGUUCGAGCGUCAUUUCGAGCAUCGAGCCCCCGGGCUCGCGUUGGGGAACUGCGGCCGCGAGCAGGCCCCGAAAACCAGUGGCGGGCUCGCCGUCACCCCGAGCGUAGUAGCUUCCGUUUCUCGCUCCGGGGCGUGGCGCGGGACCCGGCCGUUAAAGGGCAGUUGACAACCCCCAACAUACCCAGGUUGACCUCGGAUCAGGUAGGAAUACCCGCUGAACUUAA